UCCCUGGUAGUAUAUCGGUUAGUACACGCGCCUGUCAUGUACGUCGGGUAGCACGUGCGCGCGAAAGCUGGGUUCGACUCCCAGCCAGGGAG
Molecule: non-coding RNA, 92 nt
Organism: Lentinula aff. lateritia
Lineage: Eukaryota; Fungi; Basidiomycota; Agaricomycetes; Agaricales; Omphalotaceae
Source: the annotation of a GenBank genome assembly